AAUGAACGCUGGUGGCAGACCUAACACAUGCAAGUCGAACGAUUUAUAAAAACUUCGGUUUUUAUAAAGAGUGGCAAACGGGUGAGUAAUGCAUGGGAACCUACCUAUAAGACUGGGAUAACUUCGGGAAACCGGAGCUAAUACCGGAUAACAUUUGGAACCGCAUGGUUCUAAAGUGAAAGAUGGUUUUGCUAUCACUUAUAGAUGGACCCGCGCCGUAUUAGCUAGUUGGUAAGGUAACGGCUUACCAAGGCGACGAUACGUAGCCGACCUGAGAGGGUGAUCGGCCACACUGGAACUGAGACACGGUCCAGACUCCUACGGGAGGCAGCAGUAGGGAAUCUUCCGCAAUGGGCGAAAGCCUGACGGAGCAACGCCGCGUGAGUGAUGAAGGGUUUCGGCUCGUAAAACUCUGUUAUUAGGGAAGAACAAAUGUGUAAGUAACUGUGCACGUCUUGACGGUACCUAAUCAGAAAGCCACGGCUAACUACGUGCCAGCAGCCGCGGUAA
RNAcentral lists this ribosomal RNA (510 nucleotides) under uncultured bacterium. Its description in RNAcentral is "bacterial SSU rRNA". It matches the Rfam family "Bacterial small subunit ribosomal RNA", at positions 29 to 523 of the family's 1533-position model. The record is from RNAcentral.